AGUGCAAAAAAGCAUUUGCAUAGUCUAGACCAGUGGUUCUCAACCUGUGGGUCGCGACCCCUUUGGGGGUCGAAUGACCCUUUCACAGGGGUUGCCUAAGACCACCGGAAAACACAUAUUUUUGAUGGUCUUAGGAACCGAGCCAUAAUUUUAUGGUUGGGGGUCACC
Non-coding RNA from Notechis scutatus (mainland tiger snake), 168 nucleotides. Lineage: Eukaryota; Metazoa; Chordata; Lepidosauria; Squamata; Elapidae. The record is from RefSeq and is a predicted model, not a curated record.